This 497-nucleotide ribosomal RNA is filed under the name uncultured bacterium. RNAcentral describes it as "partial 16S ribosomal RNA". It matches the Rfam family "Bacterial small subunit ribosomal RNA", at positions 28 to 507 of the family's 1533-position model. The record is from RNAcentral.
GAUGAACGCUGGCGGCGUGCCUAAUACAUGCAAGUCGAGCGAACAGAUGAGGAGCUUGCUCCUCUGACGUUAGCGGCGGACGGGUGAGUAACGCGUGGAUAACCUACCUAUAAGACUGGGAUAACUUCGGGAAACCGGAGCUAAUACCGGAUAAUAUAUUGAACCGCAUGGUUCAAUAGUGAAAGACGGUUUUGCUGUCACUUAUAGAUGGAUCCGCGCCGCAUUAGCUAGUUGGUAAGGUAACGGCUUACCAAGGCAACGAUGCGUAGCCGACCUGAGAGGGUGAUCGGCCAAACUGGAACUGAGACACGGUCCAGACUCCUACGGGAGGCAGCAGUAGGGAAUCUUCCGCAAUGGGCGAAAGCCUGACGGAGCAACGCCGCGUGAGUGAUGAAGGUCUUCGGAUCGUAAAACUCUGUUAUUAGGGAAGAACAAAUGUGUAAGUAACUAUGCACGUCUUGACGGUACCUAAUCAGAAAGCCACGGCUAACUACGUG